RNAcentral lists this ribosomal RNA (253 nucleotides) under uncultured bacterium. RNAcentral's name for it is "partial 16S ribosomal RNA". It matches the Rfam family "Bacterial small subunit ribosomal RNA", at positions 524 to 776 of the family's 1533-position model. The record is from RNAcentral.
UACGAACCGUGCGAACGUUGUUCGGAAUCACUGGGCUUAAAGGGCGCGUAGGCGGGCUGUCAAGUCUGGGGUGAAAUGCCGCGGCUCAACCGUGGAACUGCCUCAGAUACUGACGGCCUCGAGGGAGGUAGGGGCGUGCGGAACUGUAGGUGGAGCGGUGAAAUGCGUUGAUAUCUACAGGAACGCCGGUGGCGAAAGCGGCGCGCUGGACCUCUUCUGACGCUGAGGCGCGAAAGCUAGGGGAGCAAACGGG